UAAUUAUGUGUUUUAAUUUGUAAAAUCAUGCUUUUCAAAAUGUUUUUGUCUUUAAGAGAAAUUGUUAUGUUUGGAUAACAAUCAAAAGAAAUUGGACCUUUAUAGAGACUAAAUUCGAUGCUACUUAGCAAAGAAUCAUCAAAAGAGAUGAAUCGGCCAUCUCUAAGGACAGCAAUGAUAGAAGUAUCAAGGCUAGGGUUGGCAAUGGGACGGGAUGGGAUGGGAUUUACCAAUCCCAGUCCCAUCCUGUAUAUACAAUUGGGAUGAAAAAACGUCACAAUCUCGUCCCUAUAUUUUUUUUUUUUGGGACAAAAAUAUGUCCAAAUCCCGUCCCAAAAGAGAUGGGAUCCUGCGGGAUCCCAUCCCAAUUGGAAAAAUUUCCAUUCUUAAUCGGUAAUGAGACGGGAUGGGACGGAAUUUGUCAAUCCCACUCCCGUCCCGCAUAUGUAAUUGAGAUAAAAAAAU
Molecule: long non-coding RNA, 465 nt
Filed under: Citrus x clementina
Lineage: Eukaryota; Viridiplantae; Streptophyta; Magnoliopsida; Sapindales; Rutaceae
Description: Citrus clementina (C. clementina) long non-coding RNA (CCLE_LNC005647)
Source: RNAcentral